Lagopus muta (rock ptarmigan) is the source of this 776-nucleotide RNA transcript. It is a transcript of the gene named dedicator of cytokinesis protein 9-like, with no coding region annotated. The transcript has 4 exons. NCBI's taxonomy places the organism in Eukaryota, Metazoa, Chordata, Aves, Galliformes, Phasianidae. The record is from RefSeq and is a predicted model, not a curated record.
UCUUGCCUUUUUACUUUCACUUGUGGGGCCCAUCUCACCUUUCACAUUCACCCUACCGGCACGUCUUAUCUUCAAGAAAUGAAAUGAUGCAGUGUUACGGGAAAGGUUAUUAUUUCAGUAAGCCAGUUAAUUGCUGAUGUUGUUGGAAUUGGAGGAACUAGAUUUCAGCAGUCCCUGUCCAUCAUCAAUAAUUGUGCCAAUCACGACAAAAUUAUUAAGCACACUACGUUCCCUUCUGAUGUAAAGGAUUUAACAAAACGUAUUCGUACAGUACUGAUGGCUACAGCUCAGAUGAAGGAGCAUGAGAACGAUCCCGAAAUGCUUGUAGACCUCCAGUACAGUUUGGCAAAGUCUUACGCGAGUACACCUGAGCUAAGGAAGACGUGGUUGGACAGCAUGGCAAGGAUCCAUGUUAAAAAUGGGGAUCUUUCAGAGGCAGCAAUGUGCUAUGUUCAUGUAGCAGCACUGGUUGCAGAAUAUCUCACACGGAAAGGUAUGAUUUUGAAGUCCUACUUAAAUGUGGGUUGGUUGUUUUUUUCAUUAUGUGUGGGAAUAGCAGUGGUUUCCCUGAGGAAGCUGUAGGCAAAAAAUUCUGACUUAAGUGAAUAGCAAGCUUACAGCAGCAUAUUUACAUGUUUAAGAACCAGCAUUUUAGCUGAAGCUAAAGCAGAACUUUUAGGAAGGGAAAAGCUUUUAAUUUAAUGCAACAGUUGCUCAUACCUGGUUAGACCCUUUCUAAGCAACUUUAUCAAUGAAUAUUCUUAUUUGUUAAGUAA